AAGAGGACGCAGGCAUACAAGG
RNAcentral lists this microRNA (22 nucleotides) under human gammaherpesvirus 4 (Epstein-Barr virus). RNAcentral describes it as "Human gammaherpesvirus 4 (Epstein-Barr virus) BART17-5p". The record is from RNAcentral. Lineage: Duplodnaviria; Heunggongvirae; Peploviricota; Herviviricetes; Herpesvirales; Orthoherpesviridae.